RNAcentral lists this transfer RNA (76 nucleotides) under Culex quinquefasciatus (southern house mosquito). Its description in RNAcentral is "tRNA-Thr". The record is from RNAcentral. Lineage: Eukaryota; Metazoa; Arthropoda; Insecta; Diptera; Culicidae.
GGAGCGGCCAUGGCUGACUGGUUACGCUUUUCGCUUUGUAAGCAAAUGGUCCUGGGUUCGAUUCCCAUCUGCUCCC